UACGUAGGGUGCAAGCGUUAAUCGGAAUUACUGGGCGUAAAGCGUGCGCAGGCGGUUUGUUAAGACGGAUGUGAAAUCCCCGGGCUCAACCUGGGAACUGCAUUCGUGACUGGCAGGCUAGAGUAUGGCAGAGGGGGGUGGAAUUCCACGUGUAGCAGUGAAAUGCGUAGAGAUGUGGAGGAACACCGAUGGCGAAGGCAGCCCCCUGGGCCAAUACUGACGCUCAUGCACGAAAGCGUGGGGAGCAAACAGG
This 253-nucleotide ribosomal RNA is filed under the name uncultured bacterium. RNAcentral's name for it is "partial 16S ribosomal RNA". It matches the Rfam family "Bacterial small subunit ribosomal RNA", at positions 524 to 776 of the family's 1533-position model. The record is from RNAcentral.